AACGCACCUUGCGCUCCUUGGUAUUCCGAGGAGCAUGCCUGUUUGAGUGUCAUUAAAUUCUCAACCCAUAACUUCUCUUUUGAAGCUCUGGGCUUGGACUGUGGAGGUUUUGCUGGUGAGAAUCAGCUCCUCUGAAAUGCAUUAGCGGAACCGUUUGCGAUCUGCCACAAGUGUGAUAAUUAUCUACACUGACUAGGGGGAUCGCUCUCAGGUGUUCGGCUUCUAAUCGUCUUCGGACAAAACUUUUAAUGAAUACUUGACCUCAAAUCAGGUAGGACUACCCGCUGAACUUAA
Molecule: unclassified non-coding RNA, 294 nt
Filed under: uncultured fungus
Lineage: Eukaryota; Fungi
Description: partial contains 5.8S ribosomal RNA, internal transcribed spacer 2, and large subunit ribosomal RNA
Rfam family: 5.8S ribosomal RNA (bases 1-52)
Source: RNAcentral